Hypanus sabinus (Atlantic stingray) is the source of this 13988-nucleotide long non-coding RNA. RefSeq lists it as uncharacterized. The transcript has 3 exons. Lineage: Eukaryota; Metazoa; Chordata; Chondrichthyes; Myliobatiformes; Dasyatidae. The record is from RefSeq and is a predicted model, not a curated record.
GGGAUCCAAAGAGUAGGUGUGACAUGUUAUGCAGUCUUAUUACAGUCGGUCGUUCCUAGUGUUACGAAGGUUGCCCAUGUCCCCCUCCCCAGGGAGAGUUACAAACCAUUACUGUUGCCAGGCUGCUAAUGAGAGAGAAAGAGAUGGAACAAAACAUUUGUUUUGAAUAACAGAAUAUAUUGCAUUUUACUGCAGUUCCAGUGGACUGGAACAUUUGCUUCAGACAAGGGUGAGAUAGCACCGGGGGAGCGAGACCAUAUUAUGACUCCUGUAAGACUCACGGCUCGGGAGAGGGCUGUUUACUUGGUACUAUUCUGUUCAUUAAAAUUCCUCAGUGGACAGCCGGAGUGGCUGGUUUGAUGGGCUAAGCCAUUCAAAACUGAUUGACACCUGAGACCCUGUGAGUAGGGAUAAAAGUGAGGUCUGGGGAGACACCCCUCAGACACACCAGGAGACACACUAGUGAGCACUGCUUGAGUGUUGGAACCCAUGUGAAAGUGUGGGGGCAUCAGAGACCGAACAAAGGAUUGGUCAAUUUUAACUCACAAUGUUUAAAGCGAGGCCGGUGGGGGCUUGUGUGUGUGUGUCCACCCUUGCCUAGGUGACGAGUCCACCAUAAGAAGAACGGUCUAGCUAAAGGACAGAGGGGUCAUACCUGAAUGGCCACAACAACACAUCGACGGAUCAAGAACGUAAAGGAAGGUUUGAAUGACUGUAGCUGUCACUGUUUGUUUGCCCCCGCUCUCUCUCUCUCUCUCUCUCUCUCCCUCCAAUGAUUACAACAAAAGAACCAACAACUACCUCAGCCUACAUGAACUGAUCUGAACUUUAUACUUUCCCAUGAUAAUUCCUUAUCCCCUAGACAACGAUAGAGCUUGUUUAUUAUUGAUUAUUAUUACACCCACACUUUUAGGUUUAGUUAUUGCUAAUGUGUAUUAUCUGUAUAUUUGCAUUGUUAAUAUUGAUUUGUAUAUUUUACUAAUAAACACUGUUUUGAAAAUAGUACCAGACUCCAACGGACACUUCUAUCUUUGCUGGUAAGACACCCAGUUACGGGGUACGUAACACUAGGCUUUUCAGAACGUUCCAGUCUCUAGCCUCCUCAUGGACCAUACUGCCCUAUAGCACCAUGAUCUCUGAUUUGGAUUAAUAAUAGAAUAUAUUGCAUUUUACUGCAGUUCCAGUGGACAUCUGCAGUAGGAACUAAACCAGUUAUUUAUUCAAUUACUAUAUUUAAUCAGCUUGGCAGUUCCUUGAAUAUUUUAAUUGCAAUGUAGUUUAAGAGGGUAACAAGAAAUUUAAAUUUAAGAAAUUUACUUGUAACUUCCCCAUAGUUGACCUAUGCUGCCAAUUUUGUAAAAUUUCUCCCCAUUAACACAGAUUUAAAGGAACAGGACAUAGCUUUACUUGUUCUGUUCCUUUAGAAGUUGUUUGAUAAGGGCUCCUGCUCUUUAAUCAGCAAUGUCAGUUUUUUUUCUCUGUUCUACUUUUGCACAGGAUUCCUGCUAUUUUUAAAAUAAUGUAUUAAAUAAUUUGGCUUCCUUUCGAGAACUAAGGACCUCUAAUGUUAAUUCCUUGUCCUUUGUUUCACAGAAUCCUGGUUAACCCCUUCCGGACCAGAUGCAGCGAUUCAGAUCGAGGGGUUUACUACACACCAUCAGGAUAGAUCUAUAGAGUCUCUCAAAAGCAGAGGUGAAGGAGUAUGCCUCAUGAUCAACACUUCUUGGUGCACAAAUAUAUCAGUGCUGUCCCAAUUCUGCUCUCCAAAACUGGAAUAUCUAGCAGUUAAGUGUCCUUUUUACUUACCAUGGGAAUUCUCUGGGGUCAUUCUGGUAGCAGUUUACAUUCCACAGGCCAAUGUCAAGCAGGCUUUAGAUGAUCUGAGCAAUGGGAUCAACAUGCACGAAACAGUGCAUCCUAAUGCUUUCACCAUCACUUUGGGAGAUUUUAACAAGACCAGUCUGAAAAAAAAUCACUAAGCAAUUACCAUCAACAGAUCACUUGCACCACCAGAGGACGGACACAGCACACUGGACCAUUGUUACACCACCAUCAAGAAUGCCUACUGUGCUAUUCCAUGCCAGCGUCUGAGAAGAAUAAUGUGGGCUGCCUCAAUGACUGUCGCCAGGUAGCAUUCACAUCGACAGUGAUGAAAUGCUUUGAGAGAUUGGUCAUGACUAGGCUGAACUCCUGCCUCAGCAAGGACCUGGACCCAUUGCAAUUUGCCUAUCGCCACAAUAGGUCAAUGGCAGACAAUCUCAAUGGCUCUCCACACGGCUUUAGACCACCUGGACAACACAAACACCUACGUCAGGAUGCUGUUCAUCGACUAUAGCUCACCAUUUAAUACCAUCACUCCCACUAUCCUGAUUGAGAAGUUGCAGAACCUGGGCCUCUGUACCUCUGUCUACAAUUGGAUCCUCGAUUUCCUAACUGGGAGAUCACAGUCUGUGCGGAUUGGUGAUAACAUAUCCUCCUCACUGAUGAUCAACACUGGCGCACCUCAGGGGCGUGUGCUUAGCCCACUGCUCUACUCUCUAUAUACACAUGACUGUGUGGCUAGGCAUAGCUCAAAUACUAUCUAUAAAUUUGCUGAUAAUACAACCAUUGUUGGUAGAAUCUCAGGUGGUGAUGAGAGGGCGUACAGGAGUGAGAUAUGCCAACUAGUGGAAUAGUGCUGCAGCAACAACCUGGCACUCAAUAUCAGUAAGACGAAAGAGCUGAUUGUGGACUUCAGGAAGGGUAAGAAAAAGGAACACAUACCAAUCCUCAUAGGAGGAUCAGAAGUGGAGAGAGUGAACAGUUUCAAAUUCCUGGAUGUCAAGAUCUCUGAGGAUCUAACCUGGUCCCAACAUAUUGAUGUAGUUAUAAAGAAGACAAGACAGUGGCAAUACUUUAUUAGGAGUUUGAAGAGAUUUGGCAUGUCAACAAAUACACUCAAAAACUUCUAUAGUUUUACUGUGGAGAGCAUUCUGACAGGUUGCAUUGCAGUCUGGUACAGAGGGGCUACUGCACAGGACUGCAAGAAGCUGCAGAAGGUUGUAAAUCUAGAGAACUCCAUCCUGGGUACUAGCCAACAGUGUACCCAGGACAUCUUUAGGAAGCGGUGUCUUAGAAAGGCAGCAUCCAUUAUUAAGGACCUCCAGCACCUUAAUAAUGUCCUUUUCUCACUGUUACUAUCAGGUAGGAGGUACAGAAGCCUGAAGGCACACACUCAGUGAUUCAGGAACAGCUUCUUCUCCUCUGCCAUCCGAUUCCUAAAUGGACUUUGAAGCUUUGGGCACUACCUCACUUUUUUAAUAUACAGUAUUUCUGUUUCUGCACAUUUUUAAAAUAAUCUAUUCAAUAUACAUAAUUGAUUUACUUGUUUAUUUAUUAUGUUUUAUUUUAUUAUUUUUUUCUCUCUCUGCUAGAUUAUGUAUUGCAUUGAACUGCUGCUGCUAAGUUAACAAAUGUCAUGUCACAUGCUGGUGAUAAUAAACCUGAUUCUGAUUCUGAUAGUUCUACAAGUUUGAUUCUUGCUAACGGUUCAUAUAUGAGAAAAGUGUUCCAUUAGCAUCCUGGUCAAUAACACAUGCAGCCAGAAUCUCUGCCAUCAAGGAUUUCUUCUCAAAGCUGGAGUCCAAAGUCAGAUUUGGCAGAGCAUGGGGUUGUCAAAAGAUAACUGGACACCCAUCCAAGAGGCCAUCACAGCUCACAGUCUUGAAAAGAUUUGUGUGACUCCAAUUUAGCAUUUAGGAAUACAUCAGGCACAACACUUCAUAAAAAUAGACCAGUUAAAUAACAGACAAAAAACUUAACGAAGCAUAGAAAAGGUACAAUGAUGGAGAGAGAACAUGUUGAUGAUGGAUCAUGAUAACUUGAGGAAAUAUUUGCCUAAAGUCUCACUCUUUUUGAAUUUUAAUGUUGGUUUCUAAACUUCUGACUCAAAAGGAAUUUGAAGGGUGUUCAUAUACAACUGUUCUGGAUGAUUCUAACAGGAAAUCAUAAAAUGUUUAUGGAACCUCUGUACGUUUGUGGUACUGAAUUAGCAAAUAUGGUACCAUGGUAUGAAACAAAAACAUUUAAACCAUCAGUGAACAAUUUUUUUUUCAUUAAUAUUACUUCAGUAUUUACGAUUUUAAUAAAACUUCAGCUUUACCCACAGAGCAAAAAGUGUUUGUGACCCACAGAAUCAUCUGAUUGGGGAUACAAUGACAAUCUAGCCCGCUAGAAGCUAGAGAACCAGACAACAAUGUCAAUGGAAUAUAGCGGUGUUCUUCUCUCUUAGAUAUAUUCUAUUUAUUUUUCAUCAUAAUAGUAUUUUGAAACUGUAGCUUUUUGCUCUCUUUUGCCUAUCAUUUGGUUAGCGAAAAGCAUCGAGCAUUGGUAUUCUCCCAGAAAGGAAGAUAUCCAUUUUUAUCCAGGAUUAGAGAAUGACUGCUUGGACAGUCCAGUGCAUCUGCAGAUGUGAUCGUCCCACUAUUCAGGGCAUUUACAAAGAUGGAUGUGUAGAAAGGGCCUGAAGGAUCAUUGGGGACCUCAGUCACCCCAACCACAAACUGUUACAGCUGCUACCAUCUGGGAAGCGGUACUGUAGCAUUAAAACCAGGAUCAACAGGCUCCGAGAUAGCUUCUUCCACCAGCCCAUCAGACUGAUUAAUUAGUGAUACAAUUGUAUUUCUAUUUUACAUUGACUGUCCUGUUGUGCAUACUAUUUAUUAUAAAUUACUAUAAAUUGGCGAAUUGGAGCUAGCGCCUUGGCUUGGGGCAAAUGGUGGCGGGCUGCUCUUUUUGUUCUAAUUCGUCAAACUGAUGGGACAAGGCAUCUGGUUUCUGGUUCUUUGACCCCAGUUGAUAGGUCAGGAUGAAAUUAAAGCAGCUAAAGAACGAAGACCACCUGGUCUGCCUGGAAUUCUGCCUCUUGGCCUCCUGAAUAUAAGCCAGGAUCUUGUGGUCUGUCCAAAUGUUAAAAGGAUUCUUGGCCCCCCCUAGCCAGUGACAUCAUUUCUUCAAGGCUAACUUAACUGUAACUUAUCUCUGCCACGGAUAGCUGCCUGGAGAAGAAUGCACAUGGGUGCAGUUUGCUGUUCAAGGGUGAUUGUUGAGACACCGCUGCACUCACUCUGAUGUCUGAGACAUCCACCUCCAUGAUGAGGGGAAGGUCCAGGUUAGGAGGAACCAAAAUGGGAGCUGAUAUGAACCGCUAUUUAUGCUCUGCAAAAGCGGUCUCCACUUCAGUGGUCCUGACAAAAGGGCUCAUGGAUUUCUUAGUUAGUGCCAUCAGCAGAGCUGCCACUGAGCUGAACUUUUUGAUGAACUUCUGGUAGAAGUUCCCCAGUCCCAGAAAUUGUUAGACUUGUUUGACAUUGGAUGGUUGUGGCCAAUCUCUGACUGCCUGGAUCUUGGUAGGGUCCAUCUUGAGAUCAUGAAACCCAAAAAUGAAAUGGUUUUGCAUGAAAUUCAGACUUUUCCAGCUUAACAUAAAGUCCAUGGUCUAGAGGGCUGUUAAGGAUAUCUCUUUCAUGGUUGAUGUGCUCCUCCAUGGACUUCGAGAAUAUUAAGAUAUCAUCCAAGUACAAACGUUCAUAGACAAAAGCGUACUUAUGGAGAGUAUCUCUGAGAACAUCAUUAAAAAAGGUCUGAAAGACUGCUGGAGCAUUCACAACACUGAAGGAUAUAACCAGGUAAUCAUAGUGCCCUGUUGGUGUAUUGAAUGCAGCUCUCCACUCUUCACCCUCCUUUAUAAGGACCAAAUUGCAGAUCGAGCUUUGUGAAUACUCUCACCCCUUGGUGCAACUCAAGGCCAUAUUCAUGAGUGGCUAACGAUUCUUGGCCGCUAUGCGGUUUAAUCCCUAUAAUCAAUGCAUGGCCACAGGCUCCCACUUUUGUUUUGUAUGAUAAAGAAGCCUGCGCCUGCUAGUGAGAUAGAGGGCUGAAUGAAGCCCGUGGCAAGAAACUCCUUUAUAUACUCUUCCAUUGCGUGUCUCUCUGGGUCUGAUAGUGUGUACAAUCUUCCCCAUGGAGGACAAAUACCAGGCAGCAGGUUACAGCACAGUCGUAGGGUCUGUGCAGUGGAAGAGUCGAGGCCUUUUGCUUGCUGCAGACCUCCUCCAAGUCCUUGUAGAUGUAAGGGAUUUGAACUGGUUUGGCUGUUGCAGGCUCCUCUGGACCUUUCUUUGAGCAUGACUCCUGAGGCUUCUUAGGUGGCAGGGGUGAAUUGACAGACCUCAGAGUCUCCUCCCUAGGUUCACAGAAUCCACGCGCAGAAACAGUGGCUAAAUCACACCCCAAAUCCUAGUCUGUAUCCUCAGACAAUGGCAGCAAGGUAUUACAGAUGGUCCUUGCCUUCCUGGGUAGAGGUUUCAAGGAUCUUCAUAUAGGAGUCUUCCCUUUAGACAGGACCGGGCGGAUGGAAUCCUUAGCCUUCAGGUUACCUCACACUGGUCCGUCCCCUUGCUGGUUGUUGGCUUCAGGAGAGUCUAAGGUUCUGAAGACUAUGCUGCAAAUACGACCUCUUACAAUAACUGGGCCAAGCAAUGAUUCUCCCCUUCCUCCAGACUAUGGAUGGGUAUGCUGGGUCAGUCAAGAGUACCCGAGGAUCAGUAGUAUGAGUAGUGAGUCAAUGAUGUAGAAACUACUAUCCUCUAGAUAAUCCUUCCUCCUCAACUGCAAAACCACAAAACCACAGUCUAUUGCCGGAUCUGCCCAGAACCUAGUGACCAGCCAUCCAAGACAGUUGAGGAUAUGGACUCAUUCAGCUCUCCCAGCAGUGUCAUUCCAGCCAGCAGUCCCUACAUCCAGAAAAUUACCCACUGCCCCAGAGUCCACAAAAGCUUCCACCUGCCUCAAGUCUUUACCCCACACGAACUCCGCCUUCAGCACGAAACCAGAAUUCAUGGGAUUGGGUGUAGUGGCUGUUACCAUCACAGUCCUCCCGGUACUGGACAGUCUUAGCAGUUCUCCAGGCAGCUGCAGCUUCAGACGUCUGACGGAGUCCCGAGCAGGAGAUGGGCUGGGCAUGAUCCGAGAUCGGGGUGGGAUGGCCUCUUAUACUCUGCCAGAUGAUUGUCAAGGCAGAUGGACUGGUUGAUCAGAACUCCCAAGAUGAGGGCACCCUUUUGUUCAUCCUGGUGUCCGUGGCUGUAUAGUGUGGCAAAGGCUUCUCCAUACCAACCACUCUCUUGUGCCAAAGAUGGAAACUCAAUGCAUAGUUGGCCGCUGACCGAAUUCCCUGAUGCAGCUUCAUCAGAAUGUCUGAGCCUCUGUUAGCUCAGAGGGAUGAUAGAAUAUCUUUCUCAUAGUGGCCAUGAAUUCCUCUGAAUACACACAGAUCUCCAAUCUUCGGUCCCAAUGGGCGGUGGCCCAGGCGAGGGCUCACUCCGUCAGGACAGAGACCAUGAAGGCCACUUUUCCAUGCUCUGAAGGGAACAGGGUCGGCUGGAGUUUGAACAUCAAUGAGCAUUGAAUGAGGAAGCCACAGCAAAAGCCUGGGUCUCCAUUAAAUCUCUUUGGGGUUGGAACGUGUACCGGCUUCACAAAGCGAGUGACAGCCUCACUUGAGCGACUCUGGCAUCCUCGUUGUGAUAGCUGGUACACAGAGGCCUGGAGGUCGUGUAUCUCCAGAUUCUGUCUGGAAAUCCUCUCGUCACAGGAGAUGGUAGACUCUUGAUACUCCACAGGAUCUACGUCGGCUCAAUCGUACUGUGAGGAGAUACCUUGACGAGGACAAUUUGGACCCAAGUGCUGGAGUAUCCGAGGCUGGAAUCGAGAUGCGGUAUAAAGCUGGAAUGAGAACAGAACAUAGAUGAAACGCUGGACAAUAUCUCUAGUUAGGCUUUUAAUUGAACACUGAAUCUCAGUUUAGGUCCUCUUUAAAUACUCAAUUCUUCCCAUCCAAACAUGAUUGCCAAUUAGUGGGACUGUCCUGAACCCUUAAAGGGGGCCAUGUCAGCUAUCCAUACUCUGGAGAGUUUGAGCAACUAAAUCCUGGAAACUGGCGUGAUUGGGAGCUUCUCGUAACAUCAGGAAAAGAUUAAUAUAUCAAUGAACUAUGUUAACCAAUCAGGAUAUGAGUUACUGAACUAACUUUGUGAUGAUUGCUUAUGGGGUGUCAAUAGCUUUGAUUGGAUGAACUAUUUACUUUGAACAAAAUAGGACUGGGAAUUUUUUCAAGAACAGCUAAUAGGACCAUGUUUACUUCUGGCAAAAAUAUUGGCUUGGCUUUUGCUGGCAAUUCUGUAUGGAACUGCAGGCAUUUCUCAGUGUAAGUUCUGCCAAGUUUCAGAACUCCCACACAAAUGAGGAAGUCUUAAACUCACUGGGCGAGCUGUGUGAUUUCCCAGCUACACUGCACUGCCGCUGUGGGACACGCAUGGAAUCCAACAGCAGAGCAGGAACUUGUUAUGAAAUUGCAGUAUUUACACUGGGGUGUGUGCUCUUGGAUCCGGUAUCAGGUUGGACUGGAGGUUGCUGGAGCUGAUUGCUUUCAAUGGGGAUUGUAUGGCUGUGGAGAAGAAAGGCCUUGCUGCUGCUGCUGCUGGGGACUGUUUCUCCCUUGAUAACCACAACUCAAUGUGCCUCCACCAUCCUGUUAGACUCUUCCUGGUGAAGUGAGAAUGUGCCAAUGUGACUGAAGAGCCAGUGCUAUGUUAUCUGCUCACAAAUACUAAGGAUCAGCACCCCAUUAGUGGGCAUCCCAUUUUUAAGGUCUGCAAAGGUCUGAGUAGCAACAUGGCAAGAACUAGUGUUUCUCUGUUGACUACAACAAAAGUCAGGCCAUUUGUAGCCUCUGCCUGCUGAGAGCUCCAAACCACUAUCACUGCUUUCACCAAAGCACAUCAGAGGAUGGGCCUUAAACUAAAUAUCUGCAUGGAAAAAUCCUUCACCAAUCUGCUCUGUGACAAUCAAAAUUUCAUGGAAAGACCUUGGGAAACAUUCCAUAUUUUAGGAAUCUCCUCUCAGCAAAGGAAGACAUCAGAGAUGAGACUCACACCAUUUGCAGUGCAAUAGCUUUGCCUUGGGAAAAUUGAACAAAAGGGUAUUUUAAAAUUAAGGUUUCCAGCUGGCAUAAACCAAUGAUCCCUGCCAUCCUAUAUACUCCAGAAACCCAGGAUAUCCCUUGCAGGCAUACCAAUUCAUUGGAAAAAUACAACCAACGUUGCUUCCACAAAAUCUGCCCAAUUCACUAGGACAUAUGAACCACUGCCAGUGUUCUCUCCCAGACCAAUGUCUUCAAUAUCGAGGCUUGAGUACACUCAGUCAGCUAGGUUGUGCAGCUCAAGAUACUCUAUUUUAAGCCCUCAGUAUCUGUCUAGGAACAGAUCAUUGGCCAGACAGAGGAAAGAUUCAAGGACUUGCAUAAAGUCUCCUCAAAGUUCAGAGAAAUAUUAGAGCAAUAACACAAGUCAAAAGGCUAUACAUGCUUACAUGCAGAUCAAUGCACAGCUUGUAAGUACGAUUCUUAUUUUGGAGUUCUUAGUGGUGACUUACCAAUAGAAAUUCAACAUAAUAAACGACAUCAAAAUUAUUAAGCAUCUACACUGGAUUAAACACAUAGAAUCCACAUUUCAUUUGGAUAAUUAAGAAUUAGGCAAGCUGGCAUGCCUUGACAAAGCAGACAAAAAUGAAGGUUUAGAGUUUUAUUAAUAUGCAAGAGAAACUUCUGACAGCAUACACAUCAAAUUCAAAGUCAUAUUAGUAUUACAUUAACACAUAAUGCUUCUUUAUAUGCGGUGGAUACAAAAUCAGUAGUUCCACAUUUACCUUAUCCUUAUUUACUCAUAUCAACUACAUCAAUAAUAAUUGAAGAACUACCAUUCAUAUUUUAAAGUAAAAUUAUUGGAAAAUCAUACUUACCCUUUCUCCCUAAUCAAAACUGAGAGUAACAAAGCUGUACUUUAUCAAUUCAUUUUCAGGCAUUGCCUUUUGAAGGUGUCCUGGAUGGGGGAAGGCUAGUGCCCAUGAUGGCUAAGUUUAAAUUCUCUGCAAUUUUUUCCGAUCCUGUGCAGUGGCCUCUCCAUACCAGAUGGUGAUGCAGUUAGAAUGCUCUCUCUGGCUGAUUUGUAGAAAUCUGCAUGUCUUUGGUGACACAACGAUUCUCCUCAAACUCCUAAUGAAAUAUAGCCGCUGUUGUGCCUUCUUUGUAAUUGCAUCAAUAUGUUGAGCCUGUGAUAGAUCCACAGAAAUUGACACCCAGGAACUUGAAACUGCUCAGCCUCUCCACUUCUGAUCCCUCGAUGAGAACUGGUGUGUGUUCCCUUGACUUACCUUUCGUGAAGUCCACAAUCAAUUCCUUGGUCUUAAUGAUGUUGAGUGCAAUGUUGUUGCUGUGACACCACUCAACAAACUGAUCUAUCUCACUCUUGUAUGCCUCACUCCUGAAAUUCUGCCAACAAUAGUUGUGUCGUCAGCAAUUUUACAGAUGGUGAUUCAGCAGUACUCAGCCACACAGUCUAUAGAGAGAGUAGAGCAGUGUGCUAAGCAUGCAUCCUUGAGGUGCAUCAGUGUUGACUGUCAGCAAGGAGGAGAUGUUAGUUCCAAUCCACACAGAGCACGGUCUAUGAGGAAAUCAACGAUCCAUUUGCAGAGGGAGGUACAGAGGCCUAGAUUUUGGAGCUUGUUGAUUAGAACCAAGGGUAUGACUGUGUUGAAUGUUGAGCUGUGAUCAAUAUACAGCAGCCUGACAUAGGUAUUACUAUUAUCCAGGUGAUCCAAGGCUGAGUGGAGAGCCAGCAGAGAGACUGCAUCGCUGUAAACCUAUUGCGACAAUAGGUAAAUUGCUGCAGUCUGGGUCUUUUCUCAGGCAGGAGUUGAUUCUAGCCAAGAAUAACUUCUCAAAGCACUUCAUCAUAGUAGAUUUGAGUCCCACUGGACGAUAGUUGUUGAGGCAACUCACCCUGCCCUGCUUGGGCUCUAGUUUAUUGUCACCCUUUGAAGCAGAUGGGAACCUCUGACUACAGCAGUCAGAGUUUGACGAUGUCCUUGAACUCUCCCACCAGAUGGUUGGCACUGGUUUUCAGAUCCCUAUCAUUAGGGCCUGAUACCUUGCAGGGACUCACCCCCUUGAAAACUGUUCUAACAUUAGCCUCCAAGACAGAGAUCACGGUCACCAGAUGCUGCAGGGAUUCGCACAGAUUCUCCCUUUCAAAACAUGUAUAAAAUUGGAGCAGAACUACUCUUAUUUGACUUUCCAAAGUGUGGCUGUGGGAUGGUAGGAUAAGUGUUUUGAUGGUGGUAUAAAAUUGGGCAAGUGUAUUGGUUCCCUUGGUUCGACAGCAAUCUUUCUCUGAGGUCAGCUUAUUUCCCAUUUGCCAGCAGGUUUGUCGAGAGUGUAAGUCUCAGAGCUCUGCAUUUAAAUCACACCUGUAGACCUGCACAGCAACCCUGAUUCCAUUUUCUUAAAGGGGAACUACACUCAUGACCCAAGUCUGCCAUUCAACAUUUCUCGAUUUUGAGUAUCAAUAAAUGUUUUAAAAUGGUACCCAUGGCUGCGACUAUGGAGUUCAAAUAGAAAUAUCUGAUGAUUUCUAUUGGAGCUGCACAUAAAGAAUCUUCACUUAACGGCACCAUCUUCUUGAAAAAAUGCUAACCUUUCAUCUAAGAGCGGUCUUUAAAGCCUAAUAGAGCGACCCUACCAAUAGGUGUGUUCUAACUCACUUUUGCCCUGAGGUAUUAAACAAAGCACUAUUGUCCAUGUACAUAAAGUAGCUUUACUGCUCCAACAUCUUUCCAAAGCCAGUGUAAUUUCCUCUUCCACCAUGAGUUGUGACCUAUUGGGAUAUAUUUCAUCAUUUACUUUCAAUCACAUUUUACUCCUUUUCACCACGUCUCUAAUACUGGACCACUGCAGCUUAAAAGUUUCUUCCCCAGGACGUUAAUAUGAUCACCCAUUUCAGUUAGCCCCCAACCCCACUCCCCUCUAACUAGUACUCCCACCACUGCACUGCACUGGAAACACUUAAAACCACUUCUUAUAAUGCUGCUUACAUUGUAAACACAUGCUGGUAUUUAUGUAUUUAUGCAUGCUAUUCCAUAUCUGUUCUUUAACCUUUAAUAUUUUAUAUAAACUUUUAUUCUUUAUAAUUGCUGAAUGAUGUUUUUGUUGCAUGCUAUGCCAACUUAUCACAGCAAAUUCCUAAUACAUGUAAAUGUAUAUGGUGAAUAAAUCUGAUCCUCGAUGACCAAACAUUCAAUUGUUUUUAAGCUACUGUAAAUGACUGAAGACUUAUUUUCUCUUCCGCUUUAUUUCACUAUGGCUUUAUGUAAGGACGAAUCUCCUGAUAAUGCAAAACAAAAUUACUGUUUAUAGUUACGAGUUGGUUUUUCUACUUCCAUACUUUCAAGCAAAAUUACUGCAGCAUUUCUGAUCUUCCUCUACUUUACUUGUGGCCAAGGCGAAUGAAGUGGAAGUCUUUAGGGUACAAAAUUUAACAAUGAAACUUGGGCUGCAGAAGAAAAUGUGGCCAUGCAUUCAAACAUUUCCGAUGUCAAAGUUGGAUCUCAUAAAUGAUAGCACAAUAGAAACACAUGUAACUCAUGGCAACAAAGGGAAACCUAAUGGAAAAAGUUAUAAAUAUGCAUGAUUCUCAUUUUCCUUGACGACAUUGGAUAUUGCUCUUCCGCUUUCAAUUUUGGAAUCAUUCUUUGUUAGAUACUGUAUUGAUAAUAAGAAUUCAAUAAUUAUUAUUCUCUGAAGAAUUUGUAAAAGAAAGCAAACUAUGGUAGUGGAUUACACUUCAUGUUAAAAUUUUGAUCUUUUGCGCAUUAGUAAUUACAUCAUUGACUACAUGAGUUUUGCUCCAAUUCCAGAGCACAUGGUACAAAGACUUAGUUUAUCACAAUUCAUGGUAGUAAACAAGUUUUAUAUCAUUAUCUUUGUUAUUCUUUAUCUCUGGACGAAUGCUCACUCUCUUUCCCCAGGCAACUGCAUUUACCUCGUUUUAAGUGUAAACCAGUGCACUUAUUUUGACCACAAUCAUUAAAUCAUGUUUCACAUGCUUAGAGAGAGUUGGUGUAGGUAGGCCAUUUGACUCAGAAAGCAUCAUCCCACAGUUUUCCCAACCUGACCACAUAAUUACACAAUCCAGCAUAUUCCUGGAUAGCUAACCAGAGCAGAAACAUUGAUUAGUUUUCUAAAUUUCUCACCAACCCAAAUGGGAUUUCUUUUUCACACUCUCUCCUGUAAUCAGCAAAUGCAGCAUAAUCCAAUCACUUUUUUUCCCCAUGUGGAUUUACACUAUAGAAGGAGCUGUUUCUAAAAAGCAUAUUUUAAUAAAGAACUACUCUGUAUAUAGUAAAUCAUAUUACAAACAGACAGUAUUCCAAUUAAACUGAGUGACUUCAUAAUGGGUGGUGGGGUGGAGAUAUGACCCUACCCCUCCUUUUAUGGUCCAUAGUCCAAGAAAUGAAAGCCAGCAUUCCUGAGCAUUUGCUACACUUGUAUACUAGCUUUUAUAUUUCAAUAGUUUGUUCAUUCAUUAUGUGCUGUGAGGAGAUGCAUCUCUACCAAAGGAGGUGUAAGGUGCUCCUCCUCUCCACUAGCCUGCAAGUCACCCUUGGGCAAAGUGUAUCACUUGCUUAGCCCCCAAUCAGGGUCACGUGGGUGGUCAUAUGAGCAGCUGGUGAUGAGACCACCAAUGCCAGGCUUACAAUCUCUAAAGAGUAGUGGCAAUGGCCGGGGUGGCCUGUCUAGUGAAGACACCACCCAGAAGAGGGCAAUGGCAAACAACUUCUGUAGAAAAAUUUACUGACAACAAUCGUGGGUCAUGUAAAGCCCAUGAUCACCAACGUCAUACAACACGGCACAUAACAAAUGAACAAUGUCAUAAACUGCACAUUUGCCAAAGGAUGAUGUUUUAUUAGAAUGCUGAUGUUAGAUUACUGGCUUUCAAUCUCUUUGUUUAUCAUUGAUGUGGUUUACUCUAUUGCUUAUGCUAAUACAGGAUAGUUUUGCUUAAGUCAUUAAACUGGCUUGUUUCCCAGUUUUUACCUGUUAUUCCUUGCCUUGA